CUCAUUGUUGUGGCUGUUAAACAAAAUUGGUCUCUUUUUCAACUUGAUGUCAACAAUGCCUUUUUACAUGGUGAGUUGGAUGAAGAGGUUUAUAUGAGAUUGCCUCCUGCGCUGUCAGCCACCCCCUUAUCUGGUUGUGCUUCCUCCUUUUCUCCUUUGGUUUGCCUUAUUGCCUCCAGGGAUGUUAGCCACCCCCUUAUUUGGUUGUGCUUCCUCUUUCUCUCCUUUGGUUUGCCUUUUUGAGAAAUAUUUAUAUGGUUUGAGACAGGCUUCUAGGCAGUGGUAUGCCAAGUUGUCUCAAGCCUUAUGUUCCAAGGGAUACUCUUCUUCUCUCAAUGAUUACUCUUUUUUUUUAAAGAAAUCUGCUUCUUCUAUUGUCUUGUUGGUUGUCUAUGUUGAUGAUAUUGUUCUCACUGGUAACUAUUUGGAGGAAAUUACUGCCUUAAAGAGCUUUCUGGAUCAUGAGUUUAAAAUCAACAACUUGGGAGUUCUCAAUUAUUUUCUUGGGAUUGAAGUUACUUACCACUCUGCUGGGCUGCUUCUUCAUCAGAAGAAAUUUAUUAAGGAC
Molecule: long non-coding RNA, 568 nt
Filed under: Nicotiana benthamiana
Lineage: Eukaryota; Viridiplantae; Streptophyta; Magnoliopsida; Solanales; Solanaceae
Description: long non-coding RNA (NBEN_LNC032302)
Source: RNAcentral